UCUUUAUUUUAAAAAUUUUUAUUACUUAAGUAGUGUGAACAAAUAAAUUUAUAGAAAAUAGUAUUUAGAAUUAUUAGAAUGUUUGAAAUUUAAAAGGCUUGGCGGUGUUAUAUAUCCAUCCAGGGGAGUUUGUUUAUUAAUUUGAUAGUCCUCAAUUUAUACUUACUUUUUUUUGAAUAUAUGAUAUCAGUUUGUAUAUUGCUGUCAUCAGUUUAUUUUGUAAAAAUUUUAUAAGAAACUUAAUAACGGAUUGGUUAUUAUGUCAAGUCAAAAUGCAGCUAAUAGAGAAGGUUUAUAAAGUGAGCUACAAUUUAUAAUUUUUAAUCGGAUUAGAUUUAUGUAAUUUAUUUAUAAAGUUGGACUUGGUAGUAAUAUUAUUAAUUAGUAGGUUUUUAUGAAUAAGGUUUUAUAAUGCGU
This 417-nucleotide ribosomal RNA is filed under the name Stoloteuthis leucoptera. RNAcentral describes it as "partial 12S ribosomal RNA". Lineage: Eukaryota; Metazoa; Mollusca; Cephalopoda; Sepiida; Sepiolidae. The record is from RNAcentral.